ACUUAAGCAUAUCAAUAAGCGGAGGAAAAGAAACUAACGAGGAUUCCCCUAGUAACUGCGAGUGAAGCGGGAUGAGCUCAAAUUUUGAAUCUGGCGGUCUCGGGGCCGUCCGAGUUGUAAUCUAGAGAAGCGUGUUCCGCGCCGGCGCCGUGUACAGGUCUCCUGGAAGGGAGCAUCGUAGAGGGUGACAAUCCCGUCUUCGACACGGAGAGGACCGGUGCUAUGCGAUGCGCUCUCGACGAGUCGAGUUGUUUGGGAAUGCAGCUCCAAACGGGUGGUAAACUCCAUCUAAAGCUAAAUACUGGCGAGAGACCGAUAGCGAACAAGUACCGUGAGGGAAAGAUGAAAAGGACUUUGGAAAGAGAGUCAAACAGUACGUGAAAUUGCUGGAAGGGAAACGCUGCGACUCAGUCGCGUCCCUCGGGGAUCAACCCUGCGAUCCGUCGCUGGGCGUACUUCUCGGCGGGACGGGUCAACAUCGAUCUCGGUCGUCGUAGAAGGACGGGAGCGAAAGUGGCACUCUUCCUCGGAGUGUGUUAUAGCCUCUCGGUCGGAAUGCGGCGACGUCGGGAUCGAGGAACUCGGUACGACCGAACUCUUUCGGGGGUGAGGUUCGGGGCUCUCGCUCACGAUCGACGUACCUAGGAUGUUGGCGUAAUGGCUCGGAGCGACCCGUCUUGAAACACGGACCAAGGAGUCUAACGUGCGUGCGAGUGUUCGGGUGGCAAACCCGAGCGCGAAACGAAGGUGAAAGUCGAGAUCUCGGUCACCCGAGAGCAUCGACGCCCGGACCCGAGCCUUCGGUGAGGGAUCCGCGGUGGAGCACGUACGUCGGGACCCGAAAGAUGGUGAACUAUGCCUGAAUAGGGCGAAGCCAGAGGAAACUCUGGUGGAGGCUCGUAGCGAUUCUGACGUGCAAAUCGAUCGUCGAAUUCGGGUAUAGGGGCGAAAGACUAAUCGAACCAUCUAGUAGCUGGUUCCUGCCGAAGUUUCCCUCAGGAA
RNAcentral lists this ribosomal RNA (1002 nucleotides) under Gyroporus castaneus. RNAcentral describes it as "eukaryotic LSU rRNA". It matches the Rfam family "Eukaryotic large subunit ribosomal RNA", at positions 32 to 979 of the family's 3401-position model. The record is from RNAcentral. Lineage: Eukaryota; Fungi; Basidiomycota; Agaricomycetes; Boletales; Gyroporaceae.